RNAcentral lists this ribosomal RNA (492 nucleotides) under uncultured bacterium. RNAcentral's name for it is "partial 16S ribosomal RNA". It matches the Rfam family "Bacterial small subunit ribosomal RNA", at positions 29 to 507 of the family's 1533-position model. The record is from RNAcentral.
AGUGAACGCUGGCGGUAGGCCUAACACAUGCAAGUCGAACGGCAGCACAGUAAGAGCUUGCUCUUACGGGUGGCGAGUGGCGGACGGGUGAGGAAUACAUCGGACUCUACUUUUUCGUGGGGGAUAACGUAGGGAAACUUACGCUAAUACCGCAUACGACCUACGGGUGAAAGCAGGGGAUCUUCGGACCUUGCGCGAUUGCAUGAGCCGAUGUCGGAUUAGCUAGUUGGCGGGGUAAAGGCCCACCAAGGCGACGAUCCGUAGCUGGUCUGAGAGGAUGAUGAGCCACAGUGGAACUGAGACACGGUCCAGAGUCCUACGGGAGGCAGCAGUGGGGAAGAGUGGACAAUGGGGGCAAGCCUGAUCCAGCCAUACCGCGUGGGUGAAGAAGGCCUUCGGGUUGUAAAGCCCUUUUGUGGGGAAAGAAAAGCAGCAGGUUAAUACCCCGCUGUUCUGACGGUACCCAAAGAAGAAGCACCGGCUAACUUCGUG